ACGAUCUUACUUGAACAGGAUCUGUUCUAUAGGCUCCUACAUUUGUGUCCUUAAGUUCAAAGGAGACAGGAUUUCAAGUCUGGUUGAUGAACCACGAAUUUGGUGCGGUUAUGCCUUGCUGGUUCACCUACACAGAAGAGGAUCGUUCUCAGCUUAUCUUGUCUGGUUGGGAUGGUCACACAGUUGUCGGACAGACU
This 197-nucleotide small nucleolar RNA is filed under the name Gossypium barbadense (sea-island cotton). RNAcentral describes it as "Plant small nucleolar RNA U3". It matches the Rfam family "Plant small nucleolar RNA U3". From Rfam's summary of the family: Small nucleolar RNAs (snoRNAs) are involved in the processing and modification of rRNA in the nucleolus. There are two main classes of snoRNAs: the box C/D class, and the box H/ACA class. The record is from Rfam by way of RNAcentral. RNAcentral also lists the same sequence under 2 other names. Lineage: Eukaryota; Viridiplantae; Streptophyta; Magnoliopsida; Malvales; Malvaceae.